AUCCUAUCCCCGCGUGCCUCGCAGCCGCCGCUCGCGCCUCCCAUCCCCCGCCGCCAUCUCGCGCCUCCCAUCACCGCCAUCGCGUCGCGCGCCCCUUCUCGCCCACAGCGCCGCCGGUUCCUGCUGUGCGUCUCGCGCCGGCGCAGCGUCCCGGCUCGAACCGCUGCGGGGCGCCGUCUCGGUCUCGUUUGCGGGAGGAGCGGCCGGUCGGCCUGCCCCGAGCCCGCCGCGGGACGCCGUCUCGUUGCUUGGGAGGAACGGCCGGUCAGCCCGCGCUACGCCAGGGCGUCGAGCCCGCCGCUGCACAUCGUGCUAUGGCUGGGCUGCUCCGCGCGAGUAGCAGCAGCGCGCCGGAGAGAUGAGGUAUCAUAUGGGGGAGGAGGAGACAGAGGCUGGGGUGGAGGAGAUGGAGCAGCGCCGUAUCGCCAUCGCCGGGAGCAGUUCCGCCUUGCACUGGACCCGACCGACUGUGAGGGGAGCGGCGUCGGCGGUGGCCGCAAACCUCACCGUCCCCUGCAGCGGCCGGCGAUUUGAGGUGACAGUCGUGCUCCCUACUCUCCUUCUUGAUCCCAUUUUUUCUUCGUUUUUCUUUUUUUUCUAUCAUCUCGAGGGAAACCCUAGCUCUAUUUUCCUUUAUAACUGAAACCUAUUGCAUGUUUACUUGGUAAAGACAUGGGCAAAGGAGAAGAUGCUAACAUGGAAUUAGAUUGUGGAUCCUUCCAAUAUUCCUCAGGGGGACUAUCCCAUUUCAAGCACAUCAUGUGUGGAUGCCAAGAGGUUGCGCUGUUCCGCAACACUAUCUGACCCCGUACUCUCUCUCUCUCUCUCUCUCUCAAGAAGGCUGCUCUACAGGGAGGUUUUUUUUUACCAGGAGGAGUGCGGCAUCACCAUCUCCGGGAGAAGAGAAGGCCGCCGCACGUGUCACUAGCUGUUGUGCCUCUCCCUCCUUGAGGUUUAGGUAAUUUAUGUCUUGGGUUGCAAUGGUUUCCCAAACUCAAUCCUCAGAUCUGUGUUGUGCAGAAUUUUGAGUGGAAGAAGCAUGCCUCUCCAAGUUUAAUGCACGUAUAUCAUGAUCUGGAAAUUUCGAACAUCGGUAAUGAUAUGGAAAAGGUUGGUUUGAAUGCAUUGUAAUGCUUGAAGCUCUCAUUGGGCUUAUUUUAUCCUCCAAACGAUAUCCGAAGCAAUCAAGUUCGCCAACUACAACAACGGCAACCAUCUGUUUGGUGUUGGCAAUGGACGUGGGACCUAGGCCCCGGAGAUCAAUGGCGACGAGGAGCAGCUGCUGGUCGUCGUUGCGGCACUUGCGCUCAUCUGACAGUGAGUGACGUUCAGCCAGUAACAAGUUAUCUAUCUUCUUUGGGCGGGAGGAUCAAGUGAUCACCAAAAUAUUUCUUCAGAUCUUUCACUUUCAUGGUGUUGUAUGAUUAAAUGGUUGAAGGAUGAGGAUGACAGGAUGCAGAAAAAUACUUUUACCAACAAUCAUUGUGGCCUCUACUAAAGUGAUUUAUAGGUUCGGCAUUAUGCUACUGGUUAUGUGUUCUGCUAUAAUUAAUGAUGGGCAUGGAAGUACACAAAAGGGACAGAUGAUUGGGAUCAAGGUUUCAGUGACUUGAUCCAGGUCAAAGGACAUUAUCUGACUUGAAGACCAGCCAUUCCUAAAGAAGGAUUACUAGGAGACGUACACUGGUGAUAUUGUUUCCGUCUUCAGUAACGGUUAAUAUUCCACCGCUGUGCCGCAACAGAGCGUCCAGAGCCGCCACAUAAGGUGGUGAGGAAGAGCGUGCGCAGGGAGCAUGUGCAGAUUGUCAUGGGAGGAUUAAUCUGUGUAACUGAGGUUCAUUCAUGAGAUUCAGUUCACAAGGUACAAAUAUAUGGUGAUCAAGGCUCUGUGGGGAACCUGAGCAAAGGUUUCUCAGGAAAACAAUACCGCCGGAGUUGAUCCUGACAGUUGACGUGAAGCAGUGUGGAAGAACGGCAUGAAGAUGAAGGCAGCGAGCUGCUGGAUACAAUCGCGCCAGACCUGGUGUUCAUCAUCGAUGAUAAGUCGGACCAGGUGUUCACCCGGUAUGGAAACAACUUGGUGGCCAGGAGAAGAUACCCCUCGCGAUGUCCUGACGGGCACCCAUGCACCUGGCAAUGCUGGACAGAUGUAGGAUGAUAGGGUCUAUCUGCUCCAUGAUCCACCCAUGGUCGGGGUAGUGAUAGCAUGAUGGCGCCAACAUGAUCUUAUACCAAUUUAUCCCCAACAUGCAUACUCACAAAGCGAAAGAUUUCAUGUGUGCUUAUGUCCUUUCCUCUUUUAGCUAA
Molecule: non-coding RNA, 2307 nt
Organism: Lolium perenne
Lineage: Eukaryota; Viridiplantae; Streptophyta; Magnoliopsida; Poales; Poaceae
Source: RefSeq, a predicted model, not a curated record